RNAcentral lists this ribosomal RNA (74 nucleotides) under uncultured bacterium. RNAcentral's name for it is "partial 16S ribosomal RNA". It matches the Rfam family "Bacterial small subunit ribosomal RNA", at positions 282 to 354 of the family's 1533-position model. The record is from RNAcentral.
GGUAGCCGGCCUGAGAGGGCGGAACGGCCACAUUGGGACUGAGACACGGCCCAAACUCCUACGGAAGGCAGCAG